AGUAUAAACAUUUGUAUUCUUUUUUUUAAAGUUUUGUUAGUUAAGCACUAAAUAUAACUCACAGAUGAUGAAUCAUUAUAUUCUGUAUAAACUAAAAAGGAGAUAGCUCAAAGUAGAUUUGAGUAAAUAAACAUCUACACAUUUAAAAACAUUUUAGCCAUUAAUUAUAAAAAAAAAUAAAAUAUACUGUCACAUAACUUCUGUCAACUUUCAUGUAACACUCCAGUCCAGUUGAUGGCAGUAAUGCGCUUUCAUAGUCGGUCAAGCAGCCGCCAUUAAAUUCCAGACGAAGAUUUGCACCGUCGCUAACGGGUGCUACUGCUAAACCCAACAUGAAUGAAAAUACCCGUCCGUUGUGUGAAAUGGUGGAAAAAGUACUAUUUCACAGAGUUACUUUUUCAUUAUCGUUUUGAUAUUAAGCAAAGUCCCGGCGGAAAACAACAGAUGACACCGCGGCGGUCCAACAAGACUCAACUUACGGUAAGAAAGCUUUUAUGAAUAGCGAGCACGUGCAGCGGGGCGAGUUGCUUUGUUUGUUUCUUACAGAAAGUGGUCUGUCGUUUUCAUAAUGUCAAAACAAGUGUAGGGUGAGAUUUUGUAUUGUAUUUUUUAUUACAUGUGAUGUUCUGAACUCUUAAAAAUACUCGCAUCUUCUUUUUUUUUCAGAUCUGAAAAAUGGCCAAGUCUCAACAGCCAGGCCUCAGACCACGGUACCGAGGCGCUCUUACGGAGUCCACCAGGACAAAGUGAAAUUCAUACAGCAAGGCAGAGUGUGGUAAGCAGUAGAGAUCGACAACAUGGCGGACGGAGGAUGGAUAUAAGGACGGAGCCAUGUAGCCGACACCACAGAAUGGGAGUCACAUUUGUGCCACUCAGACUCUUCAGGAACGUUCUGAUGUCCGUGAUAAGGACAGAGAUGCAACUGUGUCUGCAUCCAGGACCUACUGCCAGUCAUCCAGAUGUAGCUCAAGAAAGAAGCAGGUAAGAUCUAGAGAUGUCACGAUUCCCUGAAUGAUUAAAGUACUGUGGUUUAUUAAAAUCCAUCAAGGCAAAUGAUCUGCCUCAAAGUUUGUUGAAUUAUGUUUUACUAUUUAUUACCAACUGCUUUUAA
Poecilia reticulata (guppy) is the source of this 1111-nucleotide non-coding RNA. NCBI's taxonomy places the organism in Eukaryota, Metazoa, Chordata, Actinopteri, Cyprinodontiformes, Poeciliidae. The record is from RefSeq and is a predicted model, not a curated record.